RNAcentral lists this ribosomal RNA (229 nucleotides) under uncultured bacterium. RNAcentral describes it as "partial 16S ribosomal RNA". It matches the Rfam family "Bacterial small subunit ribosomal RNA", at positions 568 to 796 of the family's 1533-position model. The record is from RNAcentral.
CGUGUAGGCGGCUAGAUCAGUCAGGUGUGAAAUCCCUCGGUUUAACCGGGGAAUUGCGUCUGAUACUGUCUGGCUUGAGGGCAGAAGGGGAGAGUGGAAUUCCUGGUGGAGCGGUGAAAUGCGUAGAUAUCAGGAGGAACGCCAGCGGCGAAAGCGACUCUCUGGUCUGCACCUGACGCUGAGGCGCGAAAGCUAGGGGAGCAAACAGGAUUAGAUACCCUGGUAGUCC